UGUGGCUCAGCAGUAGAGCACCUGCCUGGCAUGCAUGAGGCCUUGGGUUCCAUUCCCAGCA
RNAcentral lists this transfer RNA (61 nucleotides) under Ictidomys tridecemlineatus (thirteen-lined ground squirrel). Its description in RNAcentral is "Spermophilus tridecemlineatus (thirteen-lined ground squirrel) tRNA". It matches the Rfam family "tRNA", at positions 6 to 65 of the family's 71-position model. Rfam says of the family: Transfer RNA (tRNA) molecules are approximately 80 nucleotides in length. Their secondary structure includes four short double-helical elements and three loops (D, anti-codon, and T loops). Lineage: Eukaryota; Metazoa; Chordata; Mammalia; Rodentia; Sciuridae. The record is from Rfam by way of RNAcentral.